RNAcentral lists this ribosomal RNA (468 nucleotides) under uncultured bacterium. RNAcentral's name for it is "partial 16S ribosomal RNA". It matches the Rfam family "Bacterial small subunit ribosomal RNA", at positions 28 to 507 of the family's 1533-position model. The record is from RNAcentral.
GACGAACGCUGGCGGCGUGCUUAACACAUGCAAGUCGAACGGAAAGGCCCUGCUUUUGUGGGGUGCUCGAUUGGCGAACGGGUGAGUAACACGUGAGUAACCUGCCCUUGACUUUGGGAUAACUUCAGGAAACUGGGGCUAAUACCGUAUAGGAUCUCCUGCUGCAUGGUGGGGGUGGGAAAUUUUCGGCGGUUGGGGAUGGACUCGCGGCUUAUCAGCUUGUUGGUGGGGUGGUGGCUUACCAAGGCUUUGACGGGUAGCCGGCCUGAGAGGGUGACCGGCCACAUUGGGACUGAGAUACGGCCCAGACUCCUAAGGGAGGCAGCAGUGGGGAAUAUUGCACAAUGGGCGGCAGCCUGAUGAAGCAACGCCGCGUGCGGGAUGACGGCCUUCGGGUUGUAAACCGCUUUCGCCUGUGACGAAGCGUGAGUGACGGUAAUGGGUAAAGAAGCACCGGCUAACUACGUG